Molecule: long non-coding RNA, 1122 nt
Organism: Pelmatolapia mariae (spotted tilapia)
Lineage: Eukaryota; Metazoa; Chordata; Actinopteri; Cichliformes; Cichlidae
Exons: 3
Source: RefSeq, a predicted model, not a curated record
UCAUUAUUGUUCACUAGCACAGAGGGAGGAGUCUAUGACUGUGACAUCACUCGUCAUUAGUUCUGGGCAAGCGCUCCGUUUUUCGGUGGCUGUCAGCGGGUCGCUCAUAGAUCUGCUUCCCUGUGUAACUGGAGAGUCAGCGAUCAUUUCCCAACAACCUUUCAUGAACGGUCUGAAAUUUUUCACUCCAACUUUUGUACCUCUCCGAUCUGAUCAGGACCCAAAAACUGCAAGUAGUGGAUGUAACAGGUAACAUCAGUCUGCAGGAAUCUACUGGUUGUCCUUUUUCUCGAUCGUGACUGCAGACCAGAAAAAUACUUUAAAAGACUUUACUGUCUGUCUCCCUCGUGGGCUUUACCUGUGCAGACCAGAAAAACAUCACAGCUGAGUCUGGACAGGACGUCACUCUGACAUGUCGAGCUUCAAACAACAACAUCAUAGUUGUAAAAUGGAGCAGAGCUGAUCUGAAGUCAGAUUAUGUCCUUUUGUUCCGGGAUUAUCUGUUUGUUCCAGUUUACCAGCAUCCAUCUCUUAAGAACCGGGUGGAUCUGCAGGACAGACAGAUGAAGGAUGGAGACGUGUCUGUGAUUCUGAAGGAUGUGACAACUGCUGAUAAUGGAACAUACAAAUGUCAUGUUAUCAUGAAAGAAACACGCCCAUGGAAAUCCAUCAGCAUCAUCACGUUUAUGUAUGCUUUGAAGACAAUCCAACAACAUUGUACACUAAGACAGUUCAUAGGUGCUUCUUAUUUUCCUUUACAUGGAAAAAAACGUGUUUAUUACAAUAAAAAGUCAUAUUGUAUUAAUUUGUGUGACAAAUCCACCAGUAGAUAUAAUACUGUAUAUUAUAGUAUCUGCUGCUCCACAUGAAAUGUGUGAAUAUUGAGAUAUUAAAUCAUGUUAUUUGUAUCUCACAGUGAGACAGACUGUGAACGCUUACAGGCAAACAUCACACUCAUGAUCAGUGAUUCAUUUUUCUCUGAACUUUAAAUUAAAUACAUUUUACUUCAUGUAGUUGUUUGUUCUGAGUCACUUUAUAAGACCCUUUCUGACCUGUACAGUCUGUUGAUGGUGUAAGUAAAGUUUCUUGACAUGAAUGUUGUUUCCUGCUGCUUGAUGAGUA